UGAGAGCAGAAUGGAUAAAGAUUCAGUUACAGAAUCAAAUGAAUAUUAAAUACUGAUAUCAUCUGAUUCAAAAAAGCACCGAUAUACUUUGAAGUUAAGUACAUGUGUAUCCCAAUUGACUCUGAUGUGCUUAGACCCAAGCAUGUGCUUAAAUGCUUUUCUGAAUUGACACCAUUGAUAUAAUAUAGACCCGUGACAUUCAAGAAAAAAAAAUCUAAACCUGUCCUACUUUUAUUUUCAAAAGCACCAUUGCUUUGCUCUUAUUGAAUGGGAGUUUCACCAUUGACUAACUUCAGCGGGAGCAGAGUGAGAGUAACUCUACUCAUAAUCUUUAUAGUAAAGACAGAAGAACAGCUAACGAUUCAGGGAAACUUCUUGAAAAUAUCAGUGAACUCCAAGAAGAAAUUAGUAAGUUAUAACCUCCUCUAAUGCAAUAGUUUGUAUGGAGUUGCAUCCUAGGCUGUGUCUACACUGGCAAUUGAACGACAAAACUUUUGUCAUUCAGAGAUGUUAAUCCCCUUCCCCCCCGAAAGACAAAAGUUUUGCCAUUACAAGUGCCAGUGUGAACAGCACGUUGUUGGCAUGAGCGCUCUGCUGCCAACAGAGUGAACGCUGCUCAUUGGUGGUGGAAGUAUUUUGUUAGCAAAAGAGCCAACAAACAGUGGCGACGCUGCCCGACUUUUAGCAACAGGGCUUUGUCGACAGUCAUGUCGCUAAAAGCUGCGUAGUGUAGACAAUGCCCUAGUAAGUACUGUAGGAUUCAUUUACCUGUAGGGAAAUGACGUGACACCCCAGGCUUUGUGAAUAAAUUUAAAGUCUGGGAUUUUCA
RNAcentral lists this long non-coding RNA (829 nucleotides) under Chrysemys picta bellii (western painted turtle). Its description in RNAcentral is "lncRNA (ENSCPBG00000022274.1)". Lineage: Eukaryota; Metazoa; Chordata; Testudines; Emydidae. The record is from RNAcentral.